UGGGGAAUUUUGGACAAUGGGCGCAAGCCUGAUCCAGCCUUGCCGCGUGCGGGAAGAAGGCCUUCGGGUUGUAAACCGCUUUUGUCAGGGAAGAAAUCUUCUGAGUUAAUACCUCGGGAGGAUGACGGUACCUGAAGAAUAAGCACCGGCUAACUACGUGCCAGCAGCCGCGGUAAUACGUAGGGUGCAAGCGUUAAUCGGAAUUACUGGGCGUAAAGCGUGCGCAGGCGGUUUUGUAAGACAGAGGUGAAAUCCCCGGGCUCAACCUGGGAACUGCCUUUGUGACUGCAAGGCUUGAGUGCGGCAGAGGGGGAUGGAAUUCCGCGUGUAGCAGUGAAAUGCGUAGAUAUGCGGAGGAAACACCGAUGGCGAAGGCAAUCCCCUGGGCCUGCACUGACGCUCAUGCACGAAAGCGUGGGGAGCAAACAGGAUUAGAUACCCUGGUAGUCCACGCCCUAAACGAUGUCAACUGGUUGUUGGGAAGGUUCCUUCUCAGUAACGUAGCUAACGCGUGAAGUUGACCGCCUGGGGAGUACGG
This 538-nucleotide ribosomal RNA is filed under the name uncultured bacterium. RNAcentral describes it as "partial 16S ribosomal RNA". It matches the Rfam family "Bacterial small subunit ribosomal RNA", at positions 355 to 885 of the family's 1533-position model. The record is from RNAcentral.